RNAcentral lists this ribosomal RNA (849 nucleotides) under uncultured bacterium. RNAcentral's name for it is "bacterial SSU rRNA". It matches the Rfam family "Bacterial small subunit ribosomal RNA", at positions 8 to 829 of the family's 1533-position model. The record is from RNAcentral.
AGAGUUUGAUCCUGGCUCAGAACGAACGCUGGCGGCGUGCUUAACACAUGCAAGUCGAACGCGAAAGGGGCUUCGGCCCCGAGUAGAGUGGCGCACGGGUGAGUAACGCGUAAGUGAUCUACCCCUGUAUCUGGAAUAACUAUGGGAAACUGUAGCUAAUACCGGAUACGUUCAUGUGAUUGCGAUUAUGUGAAGAAAGAUGGCCUCUGACAUAAGCUAUCGUACAGGGAGGAGCUUGCGUACCAUUAGCUAGUUGGCAGGGUAAAGGCCUACCAAGGCGACGAUGGUUAGCGGGUCUGAGAGGAUGAUCCGCCACACUGGAACUGAAACACGGACCAGACUCCUACGGGAGGCAGCAGUGAGGAAUAUUGCGCAAUGGGGGCAACCCUGACGCAGCGACGCCGCGUGGAUGAUGAAGGCCUUCGGGUCGUAAAAUCCUGUCGGAUGGAAAGAAGUGCAUAUAUGCUAAUAUCAUGUAUGUUUGACGGUACCAUCAGAGGAAGCACCGGCUAACUCCGUGCCAGCAGCCGCGGUAAUACGGAGGGUGCAAGCGUUGUUCGGAAUUACUGGGCGUAAAGCGCGCGUAGGCGGUUUGUUAAGUCAGAUGUGAAAGCCCCGGGCUUAACCUGGGACGUGCAUUUGAAACUGACAGACUUGAGUAUUGGAGGGGGUGGUGGAAUUCCCGGUGUAGAGGUGAAAAUUCGUAGAUAUCGGGGAGGAAUACCGGUGGCGAAGGCGACCACCUGGCCAAAUACUGACCCNUGAGGUGCNAAGGCGUGGGGGAGCAAACAGGAUUAGAUACCCNUGGUAGUCCNACGCCGGUAAACGAUGANAACUAGGUGUUGGGGA